CUGAGAUGGCCUACUUCAACACUACUACUACUACCACUACAACUAGUAUUACUAUCCCGGCUUCAGUGGCUCCUCUCGACCUAUCCCCCGAUGCUCGUCAUAUCCAUUGCCCUACUCUUCGCAUCUCAUCACUUCGUCCAAU
Non-coding RNA from Caenorhabditis elegans, 142 nucleotides. The record is from Ensembl. Lineage: Eukaryota; Metazoa; Nematoda; Chromadorea; Rhabditida; Rhabditidae.